This 382-nucleotide ribosomal RNA is filed under the name Phytopseudomonas straminea. RNAcentral describes it as "bacterial SSU rRNA". It matches the Rfam family "Bacterial small subunit ribosomal RNA", at positions 39 to 425 of the family's 1533-position model. The record is from RNAcentral. Lineage: Bacteria; Pseudomonadati; Pseudomonadota; Gammaproteobacteria; Pseudomonadales; Pseudomonadaceae.
GGGGCGGCCUACCAUGCAAGGUCGAGCGGUUGACGGGAGCUUGCUCCCUGAUUCAGCGGCGGACGGGUGAGUAAUGCCUAGGAAUCUGCCUAUUAGUGGGGGACAACGCUUUCGAAAGGAACGCUAAUACCGCAUACGUCCUACGGGAGAAAGCAGGGGACCUUCGGGCCUUGCGCUAAUAGAUGAGCCUAGGUCGGAUUAGCUAGUUGGUGGGGUAAUGGCUCACCAAGGCGACGAUCCGUAACUGGUCUGAGAGGAUGAUCAGUCACACUGGAACUGAGACACGGUCCAGACUCCUACGGGAGGCAGCAGUGGGGAAUAUUGGACAAUGGGCGAAAGCCUGAUCCAGCCAUGCCGCGUGUGUGAAAAGGUCUUCCGAUUG